This is a microRNA precursor of Oreochromis aureus, 59 nucleotides long. NCBI's taxonomy places the organism in Eukaryota, Metazoa, Chordata, Actinopteri, Cichliformes, Cichlidae. The record is from Ensembl.
ACAAGAACAUAAGUACUUAUUUUAAUUCUGAAUACAGUAAGUGCUCAUUGUUGUUGUGU